GUACACUCCUACGGGAGGCAGCAGUGGGGAAUUUUGGACAAUGGGCGAAAGCCUGAUCCAGCAAUGCCGCGUGAGUGAAGAAGGCCUUCGGGUUGUAAAGCUCUUUUGUCAGGGAAGAAACGGUGAGAGCUAAUAUCUCUUGCUAAUGACGGUACCUGAAGAAUAAGCACCGGCUAACUACGUGCCAGCAGCCGCGGUAAUACGUAGGGUGCAAGCGUUAAUCGGAAUUACUGGGCGUAAAGCGUGCGCAGGCGGUUUUGUAAGUCUGAUGUGAAAUCCCCGGGCUCAACCUGGGAAUUGCAUUGGAGACUGCAAGGCUAGAAUCUGGCAGAGGGGGGUAGAAUUCCACGUGUAGCAGUGAAAUGCGUAGAUAUGUGGAGGAACACCGAUGGCGAAGGCAGCCCCCUGGGUCAAGAUUGACGCUCAUGCACGAAAGCGUGGUGAGCAAACAGGAUUAGAUACCCCAGUAGUCCCAUGAU
Molecule: ribosomal RNA, 479 nt
Filed under: uncultured organism
Description: partial 16S ribosomal RNA
Rfam family: Bacterial small subunit ribosomal RNA
Source: RNAcentral